UACACUCCUACGGGAGGCAGCAGUGGGGAAUAUUGGACAAUGGGCGCAAGCCUGAUCCAGCCAUGCCGCGUGAGUGAUGAAGGACCUAGGGUUGUAAAGCUCUUUCACCGGUGAAGAUAAUGACGGUAACCGGAGAAGAAGCCCCGGCUAACUUCGUGCCAGCAGCCGCGGUAAUACGAAGGGGGCUAGCGUUGUUCGGAUUUACUGGGCGUAAAGCGCACGUAGGCGGACUAUUAAGUCAGGGGUGAAAUCCCGGGGCUCAACCCCGGAACUGCCUUUGAUACUGGUAGUCUUGAGUUCGAGAGAGGUGAGUGGAAUUCCGAGUGUAGAGGUGAAAUUCGUAGAUAUUCGGAGGAACACCAGUGGCGAAGGCGGCUCACUGGCUCGAUACUGACGCUGAGGUGCGAAAGCGUGGGGAGCAAACAGGAUUAGAAACCCGUGUAGUCCCAUGA
This 452-nucleotide ribosomal RNA is filed under the name uncultured organism. RNAcentral describes it as "partial 16S ribosomal RNA". It matches the Rfam family "Bacterial small subunit ribosomal RNA", at positions 332 to 800 of the family's 1533-position model. The record is from RNAcentral.